GGUUUGAUGGCUUUGGCGGGGGAGGAGUGGGGAGGAUACAGAAUACCAAGCUAAGGGAGACUCGUGACAAUUUCUCCUUAGGGCGAGAGGAGUAAGCCGGGCACGAAACACUGGCAGGACUGGGAGAGCUAGAAGGGAAGGCUGACCACUAACACCAGACCCCCCGCCCCAACUCCCAUGGACUCUGGAGGAUUUGAAGACCAGUCCUCUCUAUUUUUAGAAGAAGGGCAACUGUCUGUCUCAGGUCUUCCCUGGUGGCUCAGCAAUAAAGAAUCUGCCUGCAAUGGAGGAGAGGUGGGUUCAAUCCCUGGGUCAGGAAGAUUCCCUGGAGAAGGAAAUGGCAACUCACUCCAGUAUUCUUGCCUGGAGAAUCCAAUGGACCGAGGAGCCUGGCAGGUUGCAAUACAUGGGGUCAC
Molecule: long non-coding RNA, 416 nt
Organism: Bos indicus x Bos taurus (hybrid cattle)
Lineage: Eukaryota; Metazoa; Chordata; Mammalia; Artiodactyla; Bovidae
Source: Ensembl